UACGUAGGGUGCAGGCGUUAAUCGGAAUUACUGGGCGUAAAGCGUGCGCAGGCGGUCUCUUAAGACAGGUGUGAAAUCCCCGGGCUUAACCUGGGAACUGCGCUUGUAACUGAGAGGCUUGAGUGCGGCAGAGGGGGGUGGAAUUCCACGUGUAGCAGUGAAAUGCGUAGAGAUGUGGAGGAACACCGAUGGCGAAGGCAGCCCCCUGGGUCGACACUGACGCUCAUGCACGAAAGCGUGGGGAGCAAACAGG
RNAcentral lists this ribosomal RNA (253 nucleotides) under Nitrosomonadales bacterium. RNAcentral describes it as "partial 16S ribosomal RNA". It matches the Rfam family "Bacterial small subunit ribosomal RNA", at positions 524 to 776 of the family's 1533-position model. Lineage: Bacteria; Pseudomonadati; Pseudomonadota; Betaproteobacteria; Nitrosomonadales. RNAcentral also lists the same sequence under 1 other name. The record is from RNAcentral.